UUACAUGUGAAAGCAACAACAAAGAUAUCUAGUUGAAUUCGUGCCGGAGAGUAUGCGAAUACCUCAUUAAAAUUUCAGUAGUCGCUUGCUGAGUGCUACCAAGUUUUGCUUUACUCAUUUUAGAACCAUUUUACUAUUGUGAACGGCUCAAAGAAGAAAUUACUGUCAAAAUAAUAAAAAUUGUUAUACACAAAUUUGAAAUUGAAAAGGGCAGGCGAAGAUAAAUCAAAACGUUAGACAUAGACGGUGGUUGAAGAGUUCAGUGCGACCAAGUAUAUACAAUUCGAUUUCAAGGCUGCCAGUUUGUAUGGAGAUUUGGAAAGUUUGUUCGAUUGGCUUGUCUAUAGCAGUUAGCCAAUCGAUGACAGCUAAUACUAAGUAGCGUUCCCUUUAUUGGCUAUAACUGCGGCAUAUCGCCAAUGCAUUGAAUUAGCUGUUUUAGAGGUGAAUUUUGAUUUUUUCAGGACGUCUUACGUAUUGACGAGAUCCCCUUGUACGGGGCCAAUCGAAGUGAUCAUUUGCAAACUUCAGCUAUUGGGCCACAUGUUUUUUCAUAACAAUGAUACUUUUCUUGGGCUAUAAGUUGCCACGACGGCCACGUGUUUCAGGAUUCGGUUUCUAUUUUAAGGCUUUUUGAAUCAUCGUCGGUGAAAUUAAAUUUUCAACGUUUUGCCUUUUGAAAUAAGUUUUUUUAUAAAAUCGCCCUGAUAAGCUGUGCAGUGUAUACCUCGUCCCAUUGGUGACAAAAUUUAAAUCGGAGUUUUAAAAAAUUAUAAAAAAAAUACAUCAAAACACUCAAUACAGUACUUUUCGCUUAAUUGCACAUCGAAAUUUCAAGAAU
This is a long non-coding RNA of Zeugodacus cucurbitae (melon fly), 841 nucleotides long. RefSeq lists it as uncharacterized. Lineage: Eukaryota; Metazoa; Arthropoda; Insecta; Diptera; Tephritidae. The record is from RefSeq and is a predicted model, not a curated record. The transcript is spliced from 3 exons.